Molecule: ribosomal RNA, 469 nt
Filed under: uncultured bacterium
Lineage: Bacteria
Description: partial 16S ribosomal RNA
Rfam family: Bacterial small subunit ribosomal RNA
Source: RNAcentral
UCCAGACUCCUACGGGAGGCAGCAGUGGGGAAUCUUCCGCAAUGGGCGAAAGCCUGACGGAGCAACGCCGCGUGAUCGAAUGAAGGCCUUCGGGUUGUAAAGAUCUGUUGACAGGGACGAAUAAGCAAUGCGAAUAGUUUUGUGUAUGACAGUACCUGUUUAGAAAGCUCCGGCUAACUACGUGCCAGCAGCCGCGGUAAUACGUAUGGUGCAAGCGUUAUCCGGAUUUACUGGGCGUAAAGGGAGCGCAGGCGGCGCGCCAAGUCUGAUGUGAAACCCCGGGGCUCAACCCCGGGCAUGCAUUGGAAACUGGCGGGCUGGAGUGCCGGAGAGGUAAGCGGAAUUCCUAGUGUAGCGGUGAAAUGCGUAGAUAUUAGGAGGAACACCAGUGGCGAAGGCGGCUUACUGGACGGCAACUGACGCUGAGGCUCGAAAGCGUGGGGAGCAAACAGGAUUAGAUACCCGGGUA